Molecule: long non-coding RNA, 186 nt
Organism: Thalassophryne amazonica
Lineage: Eukaryota; Metazoa; Chordata; Actinopteri; Batrachoidiformes; Batrachoididae
Exons: 3
Source: RefSeq, a predicted model, not a curated record
GUCAUACUGCCUUCAGUCGCUAUGUUGCGUCACUCAGCAUGUUCAUAUAAUAGACUUCUAGUCUAUUUUGACUCCGUCUAGCUUGUUGCAUAGUGACCAGCUGUCUGUCUGUUGUUGCUGUAAAAUACCCACUCUGAUUGAAAAUGAAUGGCAGCUGGACACUGCCUCUGCCCCUUGUUGUUAGUG